This 495-nucleotide ribosomal RNA is filed under the name Staphylococcus haemolyticus. Its description in RNAcentral is "bacterial SSU rRNA". It matches the Rfam family "Bacterial small subunit ribosomal RNA", at positions 49 to 525 of the family's 1533-position model. Lineage: Bacteria; Bacillati; Bacillota; Bacilli; Caryophanales; Staphylococcaceae. The record is from RNAcentral.
CUAUACNUGCAGUCGAGCGAACAGACAAGGAGCUUGCUCCUUUGACGUUAGCGGCGGACGGGUGAGUAACACGUGGGUAACCUACCUAUAAGACUGGGAUAACUUCGGGAAACCGGAGCUAAUACCGGAUAAUAUUUCGAACCGCAUGGUUCGAUAGUGAAAGAUGGUUUUGCUAUCACUUAUAGAUGGACCCGCGCCGUAUUAGCUAGUUGGUAAGGUAACGGCUUACCAAGGCGACGAUACGUAGCCGACCUGAGAGGGUGAUCGGCCACACUGGAACUGAGACACGGUCCAGACUCCUACGGGAGGCAGCAGUAGGGAAUCUUCCGCAAUGGGCGAAAGCCUGACGGAGCAACGCCGCGUGAGUGAUGAAGGUCUUCGGAUCGUAAAACUCUGUUAUUAGGGAAGAACAUACGUGUAAGUAACUAUGCACGUCUUGACGGUACCUAAUCAGAAAGCCACGGCUAACUACGUGCCAGCAGCGGCCGGGUAAUA